This 311-nucleotide ribosomal RNA is filed under the name uncultured eukaryote. RNAcentral describes it as "partial 18S ribosomal RNA". It matches the Rfam family "Eukaryotic small subunit ribosomal RNA", at positions 1470 to 1796 of the family's 1831-position model. The record is from RNAcentral.
CCCUUAGAUGUCCUGGGCUGCACGCGCGCUACACUGAUGUGUCCAGUAAGCACCUAACCUCUUCCGAAAGGAACGGGUAACCUUUGCAAAGCACAUCGUGAUGGGGAUAGAUUAUUGCAAUUAUUAGUCUUGAACGAGGAAUUCCUAGUAAGCACAAGUCAUCAGCUUGUGUUGAUUACGUCCCUGCCCUUUGUACACACCGCCCGUCGCUACUACCGAUUGAAUGGUUUAGUGAGGCCUUCGGAUCCGCGACUCGUUUUGUGGAGAAGUUGGACAAACUCAGUCAUUUAGAGGAAGUAAAAGUCGUAACA